GAGGCAGCAAGAAAAAUGAGGGACUUUCAGGGGCAGCUGUGUUUUACUAACCCAGUCAUAAUGCCCCUAAAAAUCCUUAUUGUUCUUGCAAUGUUCAA
This 98-nucleotide microRNA precursor is filed under the name Chelydra serpentina (North American snapping turtle). Its description in RNAcentral is "miRNA (ENSCSRG00000011117.1)". The stretch from base 5 to 90 matches the Rfam family "mir-365 microRNA precursor family". The record is from RNAcentral. Lineage: Eukaryota; Metazoa; Chordata; Testudines; Chelydridae.